AUACGUAGGGAGCGAGCGUUGUCCGGAAUUACUGGGCGUAAAGGGAGCGUAGGCGGGAGGGCAAGUCAGAUGUGAAAUACAAGGGCUCAACCCCUGGGCUGCAUUUGAAACUGCAUUUCUUGAGUGAAGGAGAGGUAAGCGGAAUUCCUGGCGUAGCGGUGAAAUGCGUAGAUAUCAGGAGGAACACCGGUGGCGAAGGCGGCUGACUGGGCUUUUACUGACGCUGAGGCUCGAAAGCGUGGGGAGCAAACAGGAUUAGAUACCCUGGUAGUCCACGCUGUAAACGAUGAUUACUAGGUGUGGGGGGACUGACCCCUUCCGUGCCGCAGUUAACACAAUAAGUAAUCCACCUGGGGAGUACGGCCGCAAGGUUGAAACUCAAAUGAAUUGACGGGG
RNAcentral lists this ribosomal RNA (396 nucleotides) under uncultured bacterium. RNAcentral's name for it is "partial 16S ribosomal RNA". It matches the Rfam family "Bacterial small subunit ribosomal RNA", at positions 523 to 918 of the family's 1533-position model. The record is from RNAcentral.